RNA transcript from Acipenser ruthenus (sterlet), 4483 nucleotides. It is a transcript of the gene named Na(+)/dicarboxylate cotransporter 3, with no coding region annotated. The transcript has 8 exons. The record is from RefSeq and is a predicted model, not a curated record. NCBI's taxonomy places the organism in Eukaryota, Metazoa, Chordata, Actinopteri, Acipenseriformes, Acipenseridae.
UUACUGAUCUAUAAGUACCUGGACAUGUCAUUUAUAACACCCUAUUUCUAGUAGUCGUAGUAGCCAUAGUAUAGCUAUUUAACUUAUACUAGUUGUAUAACAUGCAGCCGUUGGUUAGCUGGGUGAAGAUGAUUUGUCUACAGCUAAUAUCUGCAAACAACCUGGACUGCCCGUAGUGCAGUCUAUGUAGUAAAUAGAAACCAAUGCAUAUUGCCGUGUAAAAUUGAACAUGGUUGUGGGACACUGCAGCUUUAAGAGUACCCUUAUGGCCAAGAGUGUGACUGGUACUGCAAGGGGGUGUGUCAUACAGUAUCUAAGCCUACUGAACUGUAUGAGUAAGACGUUAAUACUUUCACUUCCUUCGCAACCCAAAGAAUUGCAGAAUGAGAACAUUUUUUCUGCAUGGCAAAGGCUCAAUUCAGUUACUAUACAUUGGCCUGCAAUUCAUAGUCUAUGGAGGCACACUGAAGCUGACGAGCAGUACCUUCCCAGUGUAUAGCCUGGCUGGAUCAGAUGUUGAGUUAACCUGCACGUUUUCAAGCUCCCUGACUCCUCAGCUGACAGACAUAGCAGUGGAAUGGAAAGCAGACACUCGGGAUGGGCAGAUGAUGGUGUACUCCUUUGAUGGGAGGAAAGAAGUAUACAAUCGAAACGGGUCUGAAGUAAGUCAGAGGAGACUCGUUCUGGGAGAUGCAUCAUUACAUUUAAGAAACGUGACAGUUGGCGACGAGGGACUCUAUACCUGUACAGUCUUGAUAACUCCAGAAAUGGCGUUUGGCACAACUCAGCUGGAUGUGUCAGUCCAGCCGUCCGUAACUUUGCUGCCUGAACUUCCAACCAUUACAGUCGGGGAAGAGAGGACGCUGUUGUGUGAAAUAAACAGGUUUUACCCAAAGCCAAUAGAUGUUGUGUGGUUCAUUAAGAAAGACUUCAACCCAGAGCAAGAAGCUGUCUCGCGAGACGUCUGUACAGGAAUCCCGCUUCCAAAUGGAGAUGAGACAUUCAGUGUUCAAAGCCGUAUCACACUGUGGGCUACUGCUAAAGAAAGCGAUGCUGUGUACACCUGUCAAGUAAGGCAUAAGUCUUACAAAAUGGCUUUCAGAACAAAUACCACAUUAACAGUCAUAGAACCAGAACCUGCUUACAGAAGCCCCACAGUGAUAGCGGGGACUGCUGCCGCUAGUAUCCUUGUCACUGUAGCUGUGCUGGGAGCUGUGUUUAUACAUUUCAAGUAUCUACAGAAAGUUCCUCCCAAGGUCUCUGAAAUUCUAGUCCCUGAAAUGAUAUUCGGGAAUGAGACAGUUACACUGAUCUGCAACAUCAGCGCGUUCAGACCUAAACAAGUCCAAGUGAAGUGGUUACGACUGUCUCACAACCAGUCUCUGCAAGAGAAGGAACACUGCAGCAGCUCAGAACGCAUUCCUUUACAAGAGGAUGGUGAAGAUUUAAGUGACAUGGCUGUGAAUAAACCCUUAAAGCACGGGAGACUGUACAGCACUGUGUCCUGCCUCCGUAUUGUCCCAACACUAGAUGACGAUAACAGAAAAUACCGAUGCAGAGUGCAGCAUGGAAAGAGUAAACCAGUCAUUAAAAGCACAACUCUUAGGGUGAAAGUUCGACCAUCCUAUUGCCAAAUAACUAGUUUGCCUCACAUUCCUGAACCAGGAAAACAAUUGGUUCUGUGCUGUCGAACAGAGCAGUUUUACCCCCGAGCCAUUACUUUGAAGUGGUUCCGAGAUGAGCUCCUGGUGGAGCAGUUCACUCAGUUCGGUCCCUUCCAGGACAGAGGCGGACUCUACAGUGUUUGGAAUCAAAUAGAGCUGACCGUUUCAAAGAACGACCACAAAGUUGUCUACACCUGUCGAGUAUACCAUGAAAGCUUUACUGGCUUUAAGGAACUCUCCUAUCGCAUUAAUCUGCAAGGAAUGCCUCCUGAAGUGUUAUGGAUCACCUCCGACCCCGCACAACCAGAAGUGGGGAAAGAAUGUACAUUAAACUGUCACAUGAAUAACUUCUGCCCUGACACCAUCACUGUAAAAUGGUUGAAAAAUAACCUCCAGGUAGAUAAUGGAGUUUCUAGUUCCCCAUCAAUUCUCGAUACCAACGGACGGUAUUCGCUUUACAGCUUCCUGAAGCUAACUCCGACAAGGGACGAUCACGGCAGUGUGAUCAAGUGUAUCGUUGAACACAGCGCUUUAACUAGCUGUGAAGAGAGAUCAUACAGGCUUCAUCUUGUCAACUGAAGUUGUACUGUAUAAAAAUACCCGCCAUAGCACUGUCAAUCAAUAGUGAGGCCACCAUGGACAGCCGGAACUUGGUGUUUGAAGUCUUGCACAUUGUUCUCCAGAUAAGCAUGACCCAUAUAGCCAUCACUUUAAAGACCUGUAAAACUGUAAAACAUUUGCAUAACAAAUUAAUCAGAUAUAUACAUGCAAAAGUGUUGCUGUAUAUAGCAGGCCUGAUUCAGAACAAACAACUGGAUUAAAACUGUAAAGGAACAUUAGGAACAUUUUGUUUAUCUCUUUAAAAAAAAAAUUACUCUGGAUAAAGAUUGCUAAGUGAUUUCCUGCGCAUGUUUUGUUAUGCUUUUAAGAUCAGAAAUAAGUGCAUUAAUGAGAUACAGCGGGAACUAUUUAUGUUAAUAUUAGGUUCAGAUCCAAAUGCAAAUAUAAUAUAAAUAAUAUAAAACAAGUAUAAUAGAUCUAUCUGACAACCAAAGUUGUAUAUGGUUUUAUAUAAAAACCAUGUAAAAAGCCAUGUCUUUAUUUGUAGUCAUUCAUUAUGGGCAAUUGAAAUGUCAUUUCUGAAAAAUAAAUAUGUCAAAUUAGUUAAAAGGCGGAUCACAUCAUUUGCUUAAAACAGAGUGCAACACAUGUAUUAAGAUUAUACAAGCUGUUUUGUGGUACCAUACUUACUGAAAUUGUUAAUAUAAACUGGAUUUCAAAUUGGGCUUGAUUUGAGUGGUAUUCCAUGUACUGUACCUCUAAGUGGUAAUUGCACUACGCUGUUCAACAUGCUGUUUGCCAGAAGAGGGGGCUAGUGAUCCUUUUCUGUGACAGCAUAGAGUGAGACAGAUAUAAUCAAAGAUCUGCUGGGUGUAAUCCAAGCCUACAACCCAGGGUGCAGUGGUCCUUGUCUAUGUAUGAGGAAAUUUAUAUAUGGAUUAGAACCCCAAUCUGACAUCAAGAACACUGAAGCUGAAAGAAAUCCACACUAUUGGUGUGGGACAUUUUAUAUCCAUUUUACCCCAGUCACAUCCCUUGCUUAUCAGAUAUCUUGGUAUACCCUGGAACAAAUCAUCUCAUAUUUAAGUACAACCACCAUGAAUGUGUUAUUUUAUAACAUACUUUGCCAUGAUACUAAUGUUUGCUUGCUUGGGUGCCUAUUGUUUCCAUGUGUUGUUCUGUACUACAGUGUACUGUCUUAUCCUGGCCACUAUAUUCCUUCAGAGAUAUCAUCUUUCUUGAGUUGACUACAGCACAGGUGAUUAGAUGUUAUCCGGCAAAAGCUGGAAGCUACUGAGGCUACAGGAGAAGAUAAGAACAGAAGGAAAUGUAUGAACGAGAGGAGCCAUUGGCCCAUCAAUGCUCCUCUGGUUCCUAGUAGCUGGUUUAUCUUAAAACUGUGUCAAGUCAGGACUUAAAGGCAAUCCAUGUCAUACCCUCACUGUGUAAAGAACGGUUUACUACCCUCUGUCUUAGAUCUAUCUCCACUUAAUUUCCCGCUGUGUCCCUAGCCCUGGUUUGUCAGCUGCUUUUAUGAUUUGGUAAAGUUCAUUCAAAUGCUCUCCAAUGUUUUUCUUUUGUUUGUUUGUUUUAGUUAAAUUGAUUAAUUGCCUUCAAUAUAAGUGUAUUUAUUUAUAAUGUCAUUAACUCGUGGGUUGUCAGUCAACACACACUUGUGUGAUACAUGUUAUUAGUACAUACUAAAGCUAACCGUAUCUGCUAUGUCUUUCUGUCUGCCCAUCUGUAUUAUCACGAGUGCUUGUCAGAGCACCCUGUUUGAUCUGUCCUGUGUAAGCAGUGCUACAUGUCUUUCCUCAUUAAUCGGAGAGUAAUAUAAUUGAGCACCAAAGUACAAACACUGGGGGGACAAUGACUUAUUGAUGCGUUGAUGUUUAUCAGUUUAUUUAUUUCAGGUCGUUCAGACAAGCUUUUCUUCACCUGUGUGCCCUUCUUUCUACACAGUUGAAGAACGGCUUGUCUAAGUAAACCGCUUUUUUUUUAUUAUUUUUGUACACUGCAGAAGUUUUAAAGCUGUUUCAACAGGUUCCUGUACAGUAUCGAAAAAAUAUUACGACCCCACCUUCAGGGCUCGUACUUGUUUAUGUAAAUCAUCCGAGUCGGUGGGUACUUCACAUUAAUCCCUUUCUGCCUUAAACGAACUGAUAAGGGAGCAAAAGUUGCUCCAAACUUUAUCUGCUGCAGCCGGCAGUAACGCAUGCUCGUUCAGAAUUGACUUCACUAGUUGGAAGUUGCAAGCU